Molecule: non-coding RNA, 2492 nt
Organism: Camellia sinensis
Lineage: Eukaryota; Viridiplantae; Streptophyta; Magnoliopsida; Ericales; Theaceae
Source: RefSeq, a predicted model, not a curated record
AAGGAAAAGUAGUCCUGCUCCCUGUAAAGCCACCCAAUCACUAUCCAUAUUGAGUUAGACGUUUGAACCAACUAUGUGGUGGCACCAAACACGUGUUCUAAAUUUCCACAGAAUAUAUAGUUUUGUGGGAGUUUACUUAAUUCAUUACUCUGCAACUUGUAACUCGUGCUAUUUCUUUCUUGUUCAUCAAAUAUCACUGUUUUACAAAACCAAUAAACACUUGUAUCAUUUGACCAUAAUUAGUUUUUAGUUUGAGAGACAAUUUAUUUGAUAUUAUUGUCCAGCGCAUAAGAAUAAAAAGGAUCAAUCAACUAUCACUCAUCAUCAAAUAUUGAUAUUAUAGUCCAUUAACGAAAACCACCUGAGAAGAAGUUUGCAAUUUCUUACGAAUAAUUGACCAGAUUUGGAUCCUCACCACCUCAUUGAAAGCUUGUUUAUGUUAGAGUGAUAAUACCUCUGGAAAUGUUUCCAUAUUCCUUUAGUAGGGUAUGCACAAGGAAUGUUGAAUUUCUGAAGAUAAAAAUACCCUGAAGUCUCCCAAAUUAUUCAUGGAAAAUAGGAGAUGUUCUUGCUGAAAUGAAUUUGAGCCUCAAGACCCCUAAUCCCCAACAAAAAAAAUCAAAAAGAAGGUUGAUACAACAGCAAAGCAUGCAUACAAUUGUGUGGAGCCUGCAAGCGGGAAGAAAUUGAACAUCACAAACACAACUAAAUUUACGCGUGUAGUAGUGGCCUUCGUCUCUUGAGGAUAUAUGAAGAGGUCACCGUCUCUAGGCAUGAUGCUGCAUAUUUAACCACAAAUAGAAUCCGCUGAAACUCAAUGUGGCCAAAUGGCGACAAGAUCUCCAAUUUACCAUCUGCAUUGCAUUCUCUAUUGUACUGUUCUAAUCUUACAGUGCCAGACAUCUCUGAAGUUAACUCGAUUCAGUAACUCCAUAGCCUGUCCUGUAAAGGUUGGGGAAGUUUAGUUUCCUAGAUUAUGACACCAUCCUUGGACUUAUACGUCUUUGGUUAUCUGGAAACUGGACAUGGGAAAUGCUUCAAGACAAGUCCUCCAGUCUUUCAAGUAGAAUGAAGGUUAUUAUCCAGUGUUGGUCCUGCCAGUGCAUGGUGCUGAGAAGGGUGGACCUAGUCUUCUGCAUUAUUUGCACGAAGUGACUGCCUUCAGACUUGAAUCCAUGUUCUCAUGCUUGGAAACUCAAAUGUUAAUGCUUCCAUCAAAGUAAUUUCUUGAUCCUCUCAAAUAGAAGGGGAGUAACUUACUAAGGAAUUAAAAAAGUAGUAUAGGGAAAUUACAUCAAAUUCUGUAAGAAGUAGUCAUCAAAUUCUGUAAGUAGUAGUUCAGGAAUUGGCUGGGCUCGUGUGCCUUACUCAGUUACAUAUGGCAUUACAGUAGCGUACAAUCUAUGCUGCAAUAGUAAUGAGACUUUCAUGAUUCUACAGUAUGUCAUACCUUAAUACAUUUGCAGUAUUUGUUUCAGUAAUUGCUUGUUUGCAUGAUCAGUGUCUGUAUGUGCAUAUGUUAUUUAUACAUCAGGUAACUUAUAUACAUAUGGAUGGAUUUUUUUAUGCAUGGUACAUGUGCUUGCAUUUUUGCAUUCACAUUGUUGUACAGAGAAAUAACCUGUUACUUUGGUGUCAGAUAAUGCCGAAGGGUCUGACAUUAUGUUGGAAGCGAUCUUGGAAGCAGAAGUGGCACGUAACGCGAAAGAUUUUUUUGCGCAGCACCAAAAUCAAAUAAAAUGUGAAUAGAAAGAAAUGACAUUAUGCAAAAAAAAUUGGCAUUCAAGCUCCCACACAUUUCUUCUGCAGUGAAUUGGAAUUGACGAAGCCUGUAAGUGAAGGUUGCAAAUUUCAGUCCUUGGGUUAGAAUGGAAAUGAUCAUUAAAAUUUGUUAAGCAUGAGUCGGAUGGGUAUGACUAGAUCCAUUCACUGCACAUCUAUGAUUUUAUAGGAACCAUAAAUCUGUAAUGGUUAUCAGACGUAAUCAGGUUGUUGGUGGCAUAACAUACCGUCUUUAUGUGAGCCAAAUGUUUGUGGAGAUAGCAUUUUGUGCAAUCACAGCAGAUGAACAAGUAAAAGGUUAUGGCACGAGACUGAUGAAUCACUUAAAGCAGCAUGCUCGUGACGUUGACAGGCUAACUCAUUUUCUGACUUACGCUGACAAUAAUGCCGUUGGUUAUUUCAUUAAACGGGAUUGGUCCUUUUUGUUCCCUUUUGGAUUGUGGUUUUCAUGUAUAUGGGGAUUUCACUUGUUCAGUUCACGAUCAAUUUGAGAGGCACAAAAAAGUUGUUUUAUAAGAUUUUGUUUGUAUAUUCUCAUUGUAAAGAUGGUAAGAUUAACACUGCAUGAAAUUUGCUCUGUUAAAAAGAUGAGAGGGAGUGUCUAUCUACAAACUACGAGGAAGCCUGCCUUCGAAAGUAAUUUGUGAAUCCAAAGCAUCACUGUCAGUUGACUGGGUUGGGCUAUUAGAUUGUCAUAACUUUUUAACUAU